RNAcentral lists this ribosomal RNA (450 nucleotides) under uncultured bacterium. Its description in RNAcentral is "partial 16S ribosomal RNA". It matches the Rfam family "Bacterial small subunit ribosomal RNA", at positions 354 to 796 of the family's 1533-position model. The record is from RNAcentral.
GUGGGGAAUUUUGGACAAUGGGCGAAAGCCUGAUCCAGCCAUGCCGCGUGCAGGAUGAAGGCCUUCGGGUUGUAAACUGCUUUUGUACGGAACGAAAAGACUCCUUCUAAUAAAGGGGGUCCAUGACGGUACCGUAAGAAUAAGCACCGGCUAACUACGUGCCAGCAGCCGCGGUAAUACGUAGGGUGCAAGCGUUAAUCGGAAUUACUGGGCGUAAAGCGUGCGCAGGCGGUUAUAUAAGACAGAUGUGAAAUCCCCGGGCUCAACCUGGGAACUGCAUUUGUGACUGUAUAGCUAGAGUACGGUAGAGGGGGAUGGAAUUCCGCGUGGAGCAGUGAAAUGCGUAGAUAUGCGGAGGAACACCGAUGGCGAAGGCAAUCCCCUGGGCCUGCACUGACGCUCAUGCACGAAAGCGUGGGGAGCAAACAGGAUUAGAAACCCCUGUAGUCC